Molecule: ribosomal RNA, 130 nt
Filed under: Pseudoalteromonas ruthenica
Lineage: Bacteria; Pseudomonadati; Pseudomonadota; Gammaproteobacteria; Alteromonadales; Pseudoalteromonadaceae
Description: partial 23S ribosomal RNA
Source: RNAcentral
GUUGUAUGGUUAAGUGACUAAGCGUACACGGUGGAUGCCUUGGCAGUUGGAGGCGAUGAAGGACGGUAUAUCGAGCGAUAAUCCUCAUCAAACUUGUAAUAAGCCCUUGACUCCAGGAUUUCCGAAUCGG